AAACAUGCAAGUCGAGCGGAUGAAGGGAGCUUGCUCCUGGAUUCAGCGGCGGACGGGUGAGUAAUGCCUAGGAAUCUGCCUGGUAGUGGGGGAUAACGUCCGGAAACGGGCGCUAAUACCGCAUACGUCCUGAGGGAGAAAGUGGGGGAUCUUCGGACCUCACGCUAUCAGAUGAGCCUAGGUCGGAUUAGCUAGUUGGUGGGGUAAAGGCCUACCAAGGCGACGAUCCGUAACUGGUCUGAGAGGAUGAUCAGUCACACUGGAACUGAGACACGGUCCAGACUCCUACGGGAGGCAGCAGUGGGGAAUAUUGGACAAUGGGCGAAAGCCUGAUCCAGCCAUGCCGCGUGUGUGAAGAAGGUCUUCGGAUUGUAAAGCACUUUAAGUUGGGAGGAAGGGCAGUAAGUUAAUACCUUGCUGUUUUGACGUUACCAACAGAAUAAGCACCGGCUAACUUCGUGCCAGCAGCCGCGGUAAUACGAAGGGUGCAAGCGUUAAUCGGAAUUACUGGGCGUAAAGCGCGCGUAGGUGGUUCAGCAAGUUGGAUGUGAAAUCCCCGGGCUCAACCUGGGAACUGCAUCCAAAACUACUGAGCUAGAGUACGGUAGAGGGUGGUGGAAUUUCCUGUGUAGCGGUGAAAUGCGUAGAUAUAGGAAGGAACACCAGUGGCGAAGGCGACCACCUGGACUGAUACUGACACUGAGGUGCGAAAGCGUGGGGAGCAAACAGGAUUAGAUACCCUGGUAGUCCACGCCGUAAACGAUGUCGACUAGCCGUUGGGAUCCUUGAGAUCUUAGUGGCGCAGCUAACGCGAGAAGUCGACCGCCUGGGGAGUACGCCCCCACGGUUAAAACUCAAGAUGAAUUGACGGGGGCCCCCACAAAACCGUGGAACCGGUGGUUUAAUUCGAAG
This 912-nucleotide ribosomal RNA is filed under the name Pseudomonas aeruginosa. RNAcentral's name for it is "bacterial SSU rRNA". It matches the Rfam family "Bacterial small subunit ribosomal RNA", at positions 51 to 956 of the family's 1533-position model. The record is from RNAcentral. Lineage: Bacteria; Pseudomonadati; Pseudomonadota; Gammaproteobacteria; Pseudomonadales; Pseudomonadaceae.